Marmota flaviventris (yellow-bellied marmot) is the source of this 1535-nucleotide long non-coding RNA. RefSeq lists it as uncharacterized. The record is from RefSeq and is a predicted model, not a curated record. Lineage: Eukaryota; Metazoa; Chordata; Mammalia; Rodentia; Sciuridae.
UGCUCAGAGAGCCCCAUUCUUUCCUGGGGGUGAAGAAGCCCCACUGUGGAGACGCCCCCAGAGGAGCGGAGCGGGCAGGCCGCACAUCCGGGGCCCCCAGACCAGAACCAGCCUGCUCACAGGGCCAGUUCCCUUUUGGUUUAACGCUGACGCGCCUUGUGGGACCUGAGCCUGUUCCUCUGCGAGCACUUUGACUUGUUGACUUUCUGAAAUCAUGAUUCUCAUGGUGAAUCUGGCCCCGAGCUGCCCACAAUAUCUACGCCAACAUCUCCAUGGGUGCUGCCUUGAAAUCUCCUCCGCUGAUGUGUCCAUCACCUUAAAUUCAGCCUCACAGAAAGUCUCAGAACACGGGCAAAAUGGAGAGGAGUUAUUUUCCAGGAUGUAACAAACGGCCUCUGGUCCAAUUCCCAGCAGAGACCUCGUCCCACGCGAAGGUUCCUGAGCACAGUCUUACUGUCUGCGUUCCUCCUGGCAUUCUGGAUUCUGGGGUCCCGUCACAGUCACCCACUGAGUUCUCCUUACAUUCGAAGGAGAAUCUCCAGCCUGCAUCUCCGACUUUUCCAAACUCCUCCUACAAACCAGUUCCAAAGGCUUCCAAACCACAGCGCCAGGGGUUCACAUAGUCACAACAAUGACCCCACUUCUGGAACCAAUUUUCUGUAUCAGUCAACACUCGGUCACUGUGACCAAGAUACUUGAUGAAAACAACUUAGAGGAGGGAAGAUCGAUUAUGGCUCAUGACUUCAGAGUUUUGGUCAGAUGCCUCCAUUGCUUUGAACCCGACGUGAGGCAGAAGAUCCUAGUGAAGAGUUGGAGGAGCAGAGCUGCUCGGCUCACGGCAGCUGGGAAGGACAGAAGUGGGGGAGGGCGGAGAAGACGGAACCUCCUAGGGCUUCCCAAGGCUGACUUCUCCAACUAGGUCCCGGCUCCAGGACUCUCCCAGCCAUCAGUGGGUGAAUCCACUGCUGAGGUCAGAGCCCCGUGAUCCAGUCACUUCCCCAAAGCCCCCUCUGCACCCAGGAGACUCUGAGGACAGUCCAGAUCCUAAUCACCACAGCAGCAGUGUGGCUCCCCCGCUCUGGCCUCUGCUCCUGCCUCACAUCUCGGGCCUUCCUCUGACAGGGACCCUGUGACGACUUCAGCCCACCAGGAUCACCGAAGCUAAUGUCCCCAUCUCCGUCCCUAAGUCAGUCCCACCUGCUAAGACAUCCCAAGGUGUGGGGCCCAUAUUCACAGGUUCCAGGAUGGAGCCGUGGAUCUCUUUGGGGCCAUGAUUCAGCCCACUACACAUAGAUCUUGUUAACUCAUAUCAAAGUUUUCUAGUGGAAGGUGAAGUAUCUGAGAAUUAAAGAAAAUAAACAACAGCAGAGGUGACCCUGGCAACACAGCCAAGGACCUGGCAGGGGCCCCCUCAGGGCGGAGUGGGUGCAGCCACAGAGGGCUUUCUUUAUGAGCUCCUCACUGUGUCUUUAGAGACGAAUCGCCGUUAUUAUUACUAGUUAAUUAAACAAAUGAUUCGAUUACCGCAAAGAAAA